GCCGCGUGCAGUGAUGAAUGCCUUAUGGGUUGUAAACUGUUUUUGUACGGAAGAAAACCCUUUCACGUGUGAGAGGUUGAUAGGACCGUACGAAUAAGGAUCGGCUAACUUCAUGCCAGCAGCCGCGGU
RNAcentral lists this ribosomal RNA (129 nucleotides) under uncultured bacterium. Its description in RNAcentral is "partial 16S ribosomal RNA". It matches the Rfam family "Bacterial small subunit ribosomal RNA", at positions 396 to 521 of the family's 1533-position model. The record is from RNAcentral.